GGUUGUAUCUCAGAGGUAGAGCACUUGCCUUGUAUGUGUGGGACCCUGAGUUCGAUACUCAGUACCA
This 67-nucleotide transfer RNA is filed under the name Marmota monax (woodchuck). Its description in RNAcentral is "tRNA.Thr". The record is from RNAcentral. Lineage: Eukaryota; Metazoa; Chordata; Mammalia; Rodentia; Sciuridae.